CCUAACACAUGCAAGUCGAACGGUAACAGGAAGAAGCUUAGCUUCUUUGCUGACGAGUGGCGGACGGGUGAGUAAUGUCUGGGAAACUGCCUGAUGGAGGGGGAUAACUACUGGAAACGGUAGCUAAUACCGCAUAACGUCGCAAAACCAAAGAGGGGGACCUUCGGGCCUCUUGCCAUCGGAUGUGCCCAGAUGGGAUUAGCUAGUAGGUGGGGUAACGGCUCACCUAGGCGACGAUCCCUAGCUGGUCUGAGAGGAUGACCAGCCACACUGGAACUGAGACACGGUCCAGACUCCUACGGGAGGCA
Molecule: ribosomal RNA, 308 nt
Filed under: uncultured bacterium
Lineage: Bacteria
Description: bacterial SSU rRNA
Rfam family: Bacterial small subunit ribosomal RNA
Source: RNAcentral